CUCAGAGUCUCCAGUCGACAGUGACGACUCUCCAGAAAACCACACAGACGCUUCACUCCUGAAUCCUGCAGCUUGUUGUUACUCAGGUCCAGUUGUGUCAGAUGUGACGGGUUGGACUUCAGAGCUGAGACCAGAGAAUCACAGCUCAUCUCUGACAAACUGCAGUAACUCAAUCUGAAUAAAGAAUCAAAGAUGAAACAGUAGAAAACACAGUUAGUUGAAUCCAUUUGUAACAACUGCCCCUUCGUGCCACUUGAGGCGCUGUUUUGUUUCCUCCUUGUGUUGAGCUCAUUUCCUGUGUGUUGCCAGGUCUGAUGAAGGAUGUGAAUCACUGGGCCUAAUGGUAUUUAAGUUUGGCCUUUGUUUCAUUCUUGCUGGUGUGUCGUGGGUCGUAAGCUUGAAGCUGCGUCCAGGUUACAAUAAGUUAAAGAGGCGUUUUCUGUCAUUUGAUGUCCUGUCCUUUGUCACCUGUGAAGGUUUGUAGUCGUCUCCAGUCGCAGUCUUGUGUUUCAUGUUUCAUGUUAGGAUUUAGUUGCCCGUUGUAACGGAGCGUAUUUAGUUUAGCCUGUAGGAAACAGGGCUGUUUACAUUAGUUCUCAGUCGUCCAGUGUCGUCAUCUUGUGUUUUCAUGUGUAGAGUUUUUGUUGUUGGAUCACGGAGCGUAAUUAUAUAGAGUCAUUAGUUUAGUCGUUACCUGCA
This is a long non-coding RNA of Betta splendens (Siamese fighting fish), 699 nucleotides long. RefSeq lists it as uncharacterized. Lineage: Eukaryota; Metazoa; Chordata; Actinopteri; Anabantiformes; Osphronemidae. The transcript is spliced from 3 exons. The record is from RefSeq and is a predicted model, not a curated record.